Molecule: microRNA precursor, 94 nt
Filed under: Canis lupus dingo (dingo)
Lineage: Eukaryota; Metazoa; Chordata; Mammalia; Carnivora; Canidae
Description: mir-8834 microRNA precursor family
Rfam family: mir-8834 microRNA precursor family
Source: Rfam by way of RNAcentral
AGGAGGAACAGCCCCAGUGGCGGGGCAGCUCUGGAGCCCUGGAUUCAGCUCCGGCAGGAACUCAGUCUGCAGGGCCUGGAGGCUCCGGGGCGGG